This 7066-nucleotide long non-coding RNA is filed under the name Homo sapiens (human). RNAcentral's name for it is "non-protein coding lnc-IMPDH1-3:7". The record is from RNAcentral. Lineage: Eukaryota; Metazoa; Chordata; Mammalia; Primates; Hominidae.
GACGGGCCGCGACGCCAGGGAAGGUCAGGCGGCCCGGGGCGUCCUGCGACUGCCCGAGGUCGGAGGCCCGGAGGACCCGCCGCCGCCUUUGUGUCACCAGCCCCCGCCCCGCUGGACUGGCCCGGGCCGGGGCGGUUGGGCCGGCGCUGAAGAGGCUUGGCCGCCCGGGUCCACCCGUUCCCGGAUCCGCCUCGGCGGCCCCCGCGCCCGCCCAACCCCUGCCCAACCCCUCGGCUCCGCGAGUUUGGGUGAGAAGUGCGGCGGCUUUUCCCAGGGAUGGAGUUUAGAGGACGCUAAUCCUAUGUGCGAGCGGCGGACCCCGCCCGGAUUUCCCGGAGGCGCCCGGUUAGUGAGGCGACGGCGCCCACCCGCGUUCGCGGGCUCCCGACCGCCACUCCCCGGAGCCGCCGGCCCGCCCCAGCCCCGCGCGUCGCCCCGGAGGGCGGGCUGCACUCCCUCCACGCACCUGGCUGGCAGAGCGUCUCCAGGGACAAAAGGUGCCCUGGCAUCAAAGCCGAGCCCCCGCCCCCGCCGGGAUGCUGCCCUCCGGAAGGAGGGGCGCUGCCCCCAAGGUACUCUCCCCGGGCACCCAGGGGGAGGUUCCAUUUCAACCUCCGAUGAAAAACACGGCCCUCCCGGGUAUUUAGGAGGGUCUGAGGGUAAGUGCCAAGAUGGAGAAAACACACCGGCCCCUCACAGAGUAUCUCCUGAGGAAUGACAACUAUCUAGUGGGCAAGGAGGGCUUCCUGCAUAGCAGAGGGCACCCCCUCUGAUCCCCCAACGCCAAGGGAAAAAAAUCACUCUUCACCGGCUCCCCUGAGCCAGGACAGGCUCCAGUGCAGCCACCCACCUUAUAAUUUUCCGCGGAUGCUGCCUUGAUCAGAUAGAUCUGAAGAUGACUUUAAGGACUACAAGCAAAUCUCAAGGGAAAAAUUCAGACCUUGAACAACAGCCUUGAACUUUUUCAGGGUUAGACAAGUACUCCCCUGUGGAGUUUCUGCCCUUAUUUCUUCGUUCUUCUGUUAAUUCUUCCAUAUUUUAACAGAACACAGACCUGCCGAAACGACACAGGAUGGCGCUUUGCUUUUUGUUAGUUCUCCAACCUUCCAAACCCUUGGGGCACAUGCAAGCACUGUGGAAAAACUCCAUUAAACCAAGAGUCAUCUUACUCCAGAUCCCAGACUGCUUGGGAAGUUGGACAUGCAUAUUCCCAAAGAGAACAGUGUUGGAAGGAGACAGGAGAGCAGCUCGGGGGUUGGGGGUAGAGGGUAGGAAAAGAGGGCAAGAUGGAUGACUACCACUCGAGGCCAGCCUCCACUGCCUGUUAGGGCAGUAGAACCUAAGAGCCGGUCCAAGGCAACACAAAAGACAGUGAGGCUAGGUCUUUCAUUGCAGCCAACGAUCAAGAAAGCAACUCCAUCAAAUGACACUGUCUUUUAAAAAAAAAUUUUUUUUUUGAGACAGAGUCUCGCUCUGUCGCCCAGGCUGGAGUGCAGUGGUGCGAUCUUGGCUCACUGCAACCUCUGCCACCCGGGUUCAAGCAGUUCUCCCUGCCUCAGCCUCCUGAGUAGCUGAGAUUACAGGCACGCGCUACCAGGCCCGGCUAAUUUUUUUUUUUUUUGGUGGAGUCGAGGUUUUGCCAUGUUGGCCACGUUGGUCUCGAAUUCCUGACCUCAGGUGAUCCGCCCAUCUCAGCCUCCCAAAGUGCUGGGAUUUCAAGCGUUAGCCACCGCGCCCGACCAAAUGACACUGUCUUAAAUGAUUUAAUGUCUUAAAUCGGGAAAGGAGAGUAAGAGAAAGCACUCAACGGAGUCAGAGGUGUCUUGCAGCCUAGCUCUUUCCACAGACAAGCUACAUGGGCCUAUCAUCUAACCUUUUCAAGCUUCUCCGACUGCUUCUGUGUUGGAGGGAUUUGGGCUAGAGGAUCUUUUUAUUUUUUUUUAUUUUAUUUUGGUGACGGAGUCUCUCACUGUCGCCCGGGCUGAAGUGCAGUGGCGCAAUCUCAGCUCACUGCAACCUCUUUCUCCUGGGUUCACGCGAUUCUCCUGCCUCAGCCUCCCAACUAGCUGGGAUUACAGGCGCACACCACCACACCUGGCCUAUUUUUUGUAUUUUUAGUAGAGACGGGGUUUCACUAUGUUGGCCAGACUGGUCUCGAACUCCUGACCUCGUGAUCUGCCCACCUCGGCCUCCCAAAGUGCUGUGAUUACAGGCAUGAGCCACCGCACCUGGCCUGUGAUCCCAUUUUUCAAAGUAAUUAGGCUGGGUGCAGUAGCUCACGCCUGUAAUCCCAGCACUCUGGGAGGCCAAAGCGGGUGGAUCACUUGAGGCCAGCAGUUCGAGACCAGCCUGGCCAACAUGGUGAAACCCUGUGUCUACUAAAAAUACAAAAAUUAGCUCGGCAUAGUGGCACGUACCUGUACUUUCAGCUACUUGGGAGGUUGAGGCAGGAGAAUUCGCUUGAACCCGGGAGGCAGAGGUUGCAGUGAGCCAAGAUGGCACCACUGCACUCCAUUCUGGGUGACAGAGUGAGACCCUGUCUCAAAAAUAAUGAUAAUAAAAUAAAAGUAAUUAUUUAAGGCUGGGAGCGGUGGCUCAUGCCUGUAAUCACAGCACUUUGGGAGGCCGAGGUGGGUGGAUCAUGAGGUCAGGAGGUCGAGACCAUCCUGUCUAACACAGUGAAACCCUGUCUCUACUAAAAAUACAAAAAAAUUAGCCAGGCAUGGUGGCGGGCGCCUGUAGUCCCAGCUACUCGGGAGGCUGAGGCAGGAGAAUCGCUUGAACCCAGAAGGCGGAGGUUGCAGUAAGCCGAGAUCACACCACUGCACUCCAGCCUGGGUGACAGAGCGAGACUCCGUCUCAAAAAAAAUUAUUAUUAUUAUUUAAAAUAAUCAUUGGGCCUGGUGCGGUGGCUCACACCUGUAAUCCUAGCACUUUGGGAGGCCAAGGCGGGCGGAUCACGAGGUCAGGAGAUUGAGAUCCAACCUGGCCAACAUGGUGAAACCCCAUCUCUACUAAAAAUAUUUUUUUAAUUAGCUGGGCGUGGCGGCGGGCACCUGUAAUCCCAGCUAGUCGGGAGACUGAGGCAGGAGAAUCGCUUGAACCUGGGAGUCGAAGGUUUCAGUGAGCCGAGGUCGUGCCACUGCAAUCCACCUGGCCAACAGAGCAAGACUCUGUCUCUAAAAUAAUAAUUUUUAUUAUUGUUAUUCUUGACAGGCCAGUGUAGAACAGGUGGGGCAUCUAUGGUGACAGAACUGGGUUCCAAUUCUGUCCCUUCACCUGUCCCAGGUUCCUCAUCUGAAAACUGUGACCCAGUAAACCUAAUUUCAUGAGCAGCUUUCAUUAAAAUUGAAAUAAUGGUGGAAAAUGCCUUGUAACCGUGCUUGAUGUAGAGUAGUUACUUAGCCAGUUAUUUCCUCUCUUCUUCCCAUUCCUAACAAAAUGGAAAAACGUUUGGUUGCUAGGAAAGAGCCUUAAGGGGAUUUUGUUGUUGUUUGACUCUAUCGCCCAGGAUGGAGUGCAAUGGCACAAUCUCUGCUCAGUGCAACCUCCGCCAUAGACAGGAGCCAAGCGUAGUGGUGUGCACCUGUCGGUAGUUCCAGCCUCUUAGGAGGCUGAGGCAGGAGGAUUGCUUGAGGCCAGGAGUUUGAGUCUAGCUUGGGCAAUAUAUUGAAACCUUGUCUCUUAAAAAAAAAAAAAAAAAAGAGGCCAGGUGUGGUGGCUCACACCUGUAAUCCCAGCACAUUGGGAGGCCGAGGCAGUGGAUCACUUGACACCAGGAGUUCGAGACCAGCCUGGGCAACAUGCAAACUUAUGUCUUUUAGGCCGGGCGCGGUGGCUCACACCUGUAAUACCAGCACUUUGGUAGGCCGAGGCGGGCAGAUCACGAGGUCAGGAGAUCGAGACCAUCCUGGCUAAGAUGAAACCCAGUCUCUACUAAAAAUAAAAAAAAAUUAGCCGGGUGUGGUGGCUGGCGCCUGUAGUCCCGGCUACUUGGGAGGCUGAGGCAGGAGAAUGGCAUGAACCCAGGAGGUGGAGUUUGCAGUAAGCCAAGACAGCACCACUGCACUCCAGCCCAGGCAACAGAGCUAGACGCCCUCUCAAAAAAAAAAAAAAAUUACAUCUUUAAAAAAAAAUGCAGGGCCGGGUGCGGUGGCUCAUGCCUGUAAUCCCAGCACUUUGGGAGGCCGAGGCGGGCGAAUCACGAGGUCAGGAGAUCGAGAGCAUCCUGGCUAACACAGUGAAACCCUGUCUCUAGUAAAAAUACAAAAAAUUAGCCAGGCGUGGCAGCAUGCGUCUGUAGUCCCAGCUGCUGGGGAGGCUGAGGCAGGAGAAUGGCGUGAACCCAGGAGGCAGAGCUUGCAGUGAGCCAAGGUCCCGCCACUGCACUCCAGCCUGGGCGACAGAGCGAGACUCGGUCUCAAAAAAUAAUAAUUAACAAAAAAAAAAAAAUACAAAAGUUAGUUGCACAUGUUGCCAUAUGCUCGUGGUCCCAGCUACUCAGCAGGCUGAGGUUGGGAGAUCACUUGAGCCCAGAAGGUGGAGGUUGCAGUGAGCUGAGAACCCACCAUUGUACUCCAGCCUGCGUGUCAGUGAGAUUCUGUCUCAAAAAAAAAAAGAAAAGAAAAAAAAUCUAGGCUAUGCUCCCUAGUAUGGGAAAUCUAGUCUAGUCAUUUGACAGAAUCAGGCUUUGCAGGCCAUAUUGUCUCUGUCGUAACUACCAACUCUGCUGGUUAAAAGGGAAGUAGCCACAAACAAUAUCUGAAUGAUGGAUUAUGGCUGUGUUCCAAUAAAACUUUAUUUGCAAAAACAGGUUGCUGGUUGCAAGGUAGUUUUCCAACCUCUACGUGAUUCUCAGACUUUAGGUUGCAUCAUAAUCACCUGGAGGGCUUGUUCAAACGCAGAUUGCUGGGCCCCACCCCCAGAAUUUUUGAUUCAGCCAGUCUGGGGUGGGGCUGAUAUUUGUAUUUCUACCAACUUUCCAGGUGAGGCUGGCUGAUGAUGGUCUGGAAACCACUUUGAAAACCUCUGAAGCUUUUCUCAACUCCCUUCUUUGUGUACCUAAAACACUUUAUCCCUACUGUAGAUGUAGCAUUAGCGUGUUAUAUUAGUUUAGUGAUUGGUGUGUGGGUCUCUGGGAGCCUUUCUGAAUCACCUCCCUAGCCUAGUGCCUGACAAUAGCAAUUUGCUCCCCAUUCAUUGACUGAACUGAAACCGGAGGGUCAUGGUCAUCAUCAUUGUUCCAAGCCAUAGAUAGAAGAUGAAGUCACCACCCCUGAUCUCAGAGCUCAUCAGAGUAGAGCUUGGGCUGGACCCUGCCCUUCUCUGCAGUGAGCAGUUUUCUCUGUGGAGCUCUGUGCAACCUGGAGCCAGUCCUGCCUGGGGUAAGAGGAAAAAAGACUCCUUCCCCCCAGCCCCACAGCCUGUACGCAAACACACCGGGAGACAUGACCUGCUCAGAGGAGACCUGGAACCAAGGGAAUAAAAUGAGAGUGGGUUGGGGGCUGCUGUUAGUUAUUUUUUGCUUGUAAGUGGACAAUUUGUGGUGUGGUGUGUGAAUUUGGGGUCUUAAAUCCAGAUAGCUGUCUGCUGUGGACAGCCACUGUUUCUGAAUUACAGGGCAUUUCAAGUGACCUGUGGUCAGGAUGUUUUCUCAGAUCAGGCAAAAUCAAUUGGUCCUGAUAAUAACCAGGGGAGUUGUACUUUCCCUAUCUUGAGUAGAAGAAGCCACAGCUCCCGGGUCCACCUGCCUCUCCUGACUGCCCACCUCCUGGCUUUUUCUUUUUCUUUUUUUUUUUUUUUUUUUUGAGACGGGGUCUUGCUCCAUUGCCUAGGCUGGAGUGCAGUGGUGCGAUCUCAGCUCACUGCAACCUGGGCCUCCUGGGUUCAAGAGAUUCUCCUGCUUCAGCCUAGCGAGGAGCUGGGAUUACAGACGCGCGCCACCUCGCCCAGCUAAUUUUUUUAUAUUUUUAGUAGAGACGGGGUUUCACCGUGUUAGCCAGGAUGCUCUCGAUCUCCCGACCUCGUGAUCUGCCCGCCUCGGCCUCCCAAAGUGCUGGGAUUACAGGUGUGAGCCACCGUGCCCGGCCGGCCUCCUGGCUUUUAUCCUGGGGGCACUGCAAGUAGAGCCAGGCAUGUGGCCCAUGCAUCCUUCCCAGCCUCUUUCCUGCUGGGCAUGGAGGAGGAGGCACUGCCAGGAGCUCCCCACAGACAGGCGCUGCUUACUGAUGGGUUGGCUGCAAACUGUAGGCAUAACAGUUACCUUCCUCUUCACAACCCCCAGGCCUGACGAGGCUUACAUGGGAAUUGCUUUGAUUUGUGAAGUCUUAAGACUAUACUGCUGGGCGAGGUGGCUCAAGCCGGUAAUCCCAGCACUUUGGGAGGCUGAGGCGGGCGGAUCACGAGGUCAGGAGAUCAAGACCAUCCUGGCUAACACAGUGAAACCCUGUCUCUACUAAAAACACAAAAAAUUAGCCGGACAUGGUGGGGGGGUGCCUGUAGUCCCAGCUACUUGGGAGGCUGAGGCAGGAGAAUGGCACGAACCCGGGAGGCAGAACUUGCAGUGAGCCGAAAUCACACCACUGCACUCUGCACUCCAGCCUGGGUGACAGAGCGAGACUCUGUCUUAAAAAAAAAAAAAAAAAGACUAUACUACCUAAUCUUCCAUGCCUCGCUCUUUCCACAUUAAUAGACAAAACCAGGAAAAAGGACUGCUUCCCCUCCAGCUCUUGAUUGGGCUCCAUAAGAACUGCCAAAAGGCCAGGCAGCAUUUGCUACUCUUCUGGGGUUCACUUCUGAAAGGUGCGACCCUGCAACCUAGAGCACAGGGAAGUUAGGACAGCAAAGGAGCUGGGCUGAGCCGACGCUGGCUUAGAACUCUUUCUGAUACUCCCUGUUCCCGCCAGCUCGUUAGCCCAGCCUGCCAAUCAGUUUUGCAUCAAUAAACUUUAUGUUCUGAGGUUGGCCAGAUGAAUGAGAGGAGAGCAGCUAAAGACUGAUCUCUGACCUUGGCACGUAAACAGCCUCCAGAUUGGACUUGACAGUUAAUAAAGGAAAGGCCCUGCAA